Molecule: ribosomal RNA, 280 nt
Filed under: uncultured Staphylococcus sp.
Lineage: Bacteria; Bacillati; Bacillota; Bacilli; Caryophanales; Staphylococcaceae
Description: partial 16S ribosomal RNA
Rfam family: Bacterial small subunit ribosomal RNA
Source: RNAcentral
CUCCUUUGACGUUAGCGGCGGACGGGUGAGUAACACGUGGGUAACCUACCUAUAAGACUGGGAUAACUUCGGGAAACCGGAGCUAAUACCGGAUAAUAUUUCGAACCGCAUGGUUCGAUAGUGAAAGGUGGUUUUGCUAUCACUUAUAGAUGGACCCGCGCCGUAUUAGCUAGUUGGUAAGGUAACGGCUUACCAAGGCGACGAUACGUAGCCGACCUGAGAGGGUGAUCGGCCACACUGAACUGAGACACGGUCCAGACUCCUACGGGAGGCAGCAGAG